This 388-nucleotide ribosomal RNA is filed under the name uncultured eukaryote. RNAcentral's name for it is "SSU rRNA". It matches the Rfam family "Eukaryotic small subunit ribosomal RNA", at positions 567 to 981 of the family's 1831-position model. The record is from RNAcentral.
CCAGCAGCCGCGGUAAUUCCAGCUCCAAUAGCGUAUACUAAUUUUGCUGCAGUUAAAAAGCUCGUAGUUGAAUGUGUGGUAGGUGUUGACCGGCCCUGCGCUUUUGCGCUGUUGGCUGUGUCGACGCUGGCCAUCCUGGUCGUGCUUUGUGCGACCUCGUUUACUGUAAAUAAAUCAGGAUGUUUCAAGUAGGCCUUCUGGCCUGAAUGUACUAGUAUGGAAUAAUAAGAUAGGACUCUUGGUCUAUUUUGUUGGUUUGUAACUGAGAGUAAUGAUGAAUAGGGACAGUUGGGGGUAUUCGUAUUUAGAUGUCAGAGGUGAAAUUCUUGGAUUUUCGAAAGACGAACAACUGCGAAAGCAUUUACCAUGGAUGUUUUCAUUAAUCAAG